UGAGGAAUAUUGGGCAAUGCCCGCAAGGGUGACCCAGCAACGCCGCGUGGAGGAUGAAUGUCGUAAGAUUGUAAACUCCUGUUAGAGGGGAAGAAUAGUACCGGUUGGACCGGUAUAUGACUGUACCCUCAGAGAAAGCCCCGGCUAACUACGUGCCAGCAGCCGCGGUACUACGUAGGGGGCAAGCGUUGUCCGGAUUUACUGGGGGUAAAGGGCGCGCAGGCGGGAUAAAAAGUCAGUGGUGAAAUCCUACAGCUUAACUGUAGAAAUGCCUUUGAUACUUUUAUUCUUGAGUUCGGGAGAGGGAGACGGAAUUCCGGGUGGAGUAGUGAAAUACGUAGAUAUCUGGAAGAACACCAGUUGCGAAGGCGGUCUCUUGGUCCGACACUGACGCUGAGGCGCGAAAGCGUGGGGAGCAAACA
RNAcentral lists this ribosomal RNA (422 nucleotides) under uncultured bacterium. Its description in RNAcentral is "bacterial SSU rRNA". It matches the Rfam family "Bacterial small subunit ribosomal RNA", at positions 355 to 774 of the family's 1533-position model. The record is from RNAcentral.